This is a non-coding RNA of Nothobranchius furzeri (turquoise killifish), 811 nucleotides long. The record is from RefSeq and is a predicted model, not a curated record. NCBI's taxonomy places the organism in Eukaryota, Metazoa, Chordata, Actinopteri, Cyprinodontiformes, Nothobranchiidae.
GUGCGGUUGGAACUCCCGUCGUCUCUUCGGAUCCAUCCUGUGUUCCAUGUCUCCCUGAUCAAACCCGUCGUUUCCAGCCCUCUGUGCCCGGUUCCGGCUCCGCCUCCUCCUGCUCAGCUCUACAAAGGGGGGCUGGUAUACAAGGUGCGGCGCAUCCUCGACUCUCGCCCCCGUGGUCGGGGUCUUCAAUAUUUGGUGGACUGGGAGGGGUACGGCCCGGAGGAACGCUCCUGGAUUCCCCGGUCCAACAUCGAGGACCCCUCUCUCAUCUCGGACUUCGAGGCCUCCAGAUCCGGUGAGGAGCAGGGGGAGCGGCAGCUGCAGGAGAUUUCCCAAUCAGGGACGCGGGUUCAAAAGGAGGAUGGAGACACAUCACUUUGCCGGAUGAUUGCACCAGUUUAGGUAGCACCAGCCACUCGACUCUGAACUUUGAUCUUGUUAAUUCGUGUUUUGACUCGCCUUCGACUAGUGGAUUUAUGACCUUGGAUUGUAUUUUGGAUUUGGAAUUGGAUUAUCCCUUACGCCUGUUUUUGUCUCGCUCAGGAUCAUCUCAUCAUCUACUCACCCUCGCUGUCUUCGUUUUCUGGAACAUACUCAUCACGUCCCAUCCUCCUCCGCCGUUCCUGUUUGGCUUUCCCUCUGCUACCUCACCCCUCCUGGAUCUCUCAUCCUCUGCCCAGCGUCCUCCCCGGCUUCCCCUCCUCUACUGAUUAACCUGAGCACCUCAGAGACUCGAGCCGUAUUGCUCAUCCCACAGGACUUCCCUGUGCGGUUUCAGUUCCCGUUUUUAUAAUAAAGACAUUUUACUUUA